GAUGAACGCUGGCGGCGUGCCUAAUACAUGCAAGUCGAACGGUGAAGGCGUAGCUUGCUCUGCUGGAUGAGUGGCGAACGGGUGAGUAACACGUAAGCAACCUGCCCCUGAAGCCGGGAAAAGUCUUGGAAACGGCGGAUAAAACUGGAUACGAGCUGCGAAGGCAUCUUCAGCAGCUGGAAAGAAUGACGGUCAGGGAUGAGCUCGUGGUCUAGCAGCUUGUUGUUGAGGUAAUGGCUCACCAAGGCGUCGACGGGGAGCCGGCCUGAGAGGGUGACCGGGACAACGGGGACUGAGACACGGCACGGACUCGUAGGGGAGGCAGCGGUGGGGAGGAAUGCCCAAUGGGGGAAAGCCUGAUGCAGCAACGCCGCGUUAGGGACGACGGGCUUCGGGGUGUAGAACUAUUUUUGCAGAGAAGAAGCGAAAGUGACGGUACCUUCAGAGAAAGCGACGGCUAACUACGUG
Molecule: ribosomal RNA, 468 nt
Filed under: uncultured bacterium
Lineage: Bacteria
Description: partial 16S ribosomal RNA
Rfam family: Bacterial small subunit ribosomal RNA
Source: RNAcentral